ACUCCUACGGGAGGCAGCAGUAGGGAAUCUUCCACAAUGGGCGCAAGCCUGAUGGAGCAACACCGCGUGAGUGAAGAAGGGUUUCGGCUCGUAAAAGCUCUGUUGUUAAAGAAGAACACGUAUGAGAGUAACUGUUCAUACGUUGACGGUAUUUAACCAGAAAGUCACGGCUAACUACGUGCCAGCAGCCGCGGUAAUACGUAGGUGGCAAGCGUUAUCCGGAUUUAUUGGGCGUAAAGAGAGUGCAGGCGGUUUUCUAAGUCUGAUGUGAAAGCCUUCGGCUUAACCGGAGAAGUGCAUCGGAAACUGGAUAACUUGAGUGCAGAAGAGGGUAGUGGAACUCCAUGUGUAGCGGUGGAAUGCGUAGAUAUAUGGAAGAACACCAGUGGCGAAGGCGGCUACCUGGUCUGCAACUGACGCUGAGACUCGAAAGCAUGGGUAGCGGAACAGGAUUAGAUACCCUGGUAGGCUACCG
RNAcentral lists this ribosomal RNA (475 nucleotides) under uncultured bacterium. Its description in RNAcentral is "bacterial SSU rRNA". It matches the Rfam family "Bacterial small subunit ribosomal RNA", at positions 335 to 802 of the family's 1533-position model. The record is from RNAcentral.